This 861-nucleotide long non-coding RNA is filed under the name Olea europaea subsp. europaea. The record is from RNAcentral. Lineage: Eukaryota; Viridiplantae; Streptophyta; Magnoliopsida; Lamiales; Oleaceae.
GUUAAUAUUUGUUGUGUUAGGGCCAUUUACGGAGAAGGGUAUUCAUAAAUUCUAUCUCUUUGUGGGGGUUGGAAGCUUAUUGUUGUAUUCUCAGUGUGUAAGCAGGUGAAUUUUCCCAAUUAAAGAGGACGAAUUUUAUGGUCAAAGAAGAAGAUUUAGUGGUGAACUUAAUUAGAUUGUUGAAAGUUUUGUGCUUUACAUAUUUUGAGCUGAGCUGCGAGUACGAGGACGUCGACUUCGUGUUGAAUUAUAUGUGAGUGGCCUUGAGCCUUGACACCCUGACCACGACCUUGUAUGGUAUUAUUUAUUUAUUAGGCUAAUUUUGCCAAUCAAUUUGAGCAUUUUCUGGCCAAUGCAGGUCAACUAUCUUGCUGAUUGUAGUCUUGAGAUUUUGGAUGAUCCUUUGGUGACUGCACUGCUCGAGGUACUUAAGUUUCGUUAAUUUAACUUUGAAAUUGUGACAUUAUUCUUAACUAUGGAGUUGGACUUUUUAGCUAGUUGGUCAUCUGUUACCUUUUAUAGUCAUACAAAAGAAAUAUUAGGUCUGUGAAAGAUUCUAUUGUAGAGUUUUUUUUCUAGAACUGUUGAUAUUGCUUGCAUAUUAGGAGUCUCUACUCCGGAGGCUAAGAUGUAUAGCCAGUAACCUGUGACUUCAGAUAUAUAGAAGUUAUUAAGAAGAUCAAUAGAUCAUGGAUCACAGACAUUAGAAACAUUAUUUUCUCUUGGUCUUCAUAAUUCUUGAGGAAGGGCACUCUAUUAUAGUGGUUGACUAUUGACGGUCAAAGGUCAACUACCGACCGCCCUAGCUGACUUCCAUUUCUGGAUUCGCCACUGGCCGUAAAAUUGUUUAAACAUCGUGAU